UUGCACGGAGCACCCUGGGCUUUCCUGAAGAACUCCGUGAUGACAGAAUCCCCAACGAUCAUACCAGAUGGAUUCGCCGUUCCUUGUUAUAGUUCUGUUCACAAAUUCGAACGACCGAUCUAUGUGAAUGCAAUGGCUAAAUUU
Small nucleolar RNA from Elaeis guineensis (African oil palm), 144 nucleotides. RefSeq annotates it as small nucleolar RNA snoR134. NCBI's taxonomy places the organism in Eukaryota, Viridiplantae, Streptophyta, Magnoliopsida, Arecales, Arecaceae. The record is from RefSeq and is a predicted model, not a curated record.